UACUUGUUUUUGUAAUUUCUCCGACACUUUGAAAGAUACAUACUAAAGAACAAGUGCAAAAUGUCAGCUUUAUUGUAAUGAAGAUAUGCUACAUUUAGUCUUAUACAAUUUAAUGGCAUCUUAUAGGAGUUGUUGCCCCUCAAAUGUCUUGAUAUGAGGUUAUUUGAUUAUGACUUCAACUAAGUUCAUUAUAAAGGCAUUUGACCUUGUACAAAAGAUUAGGUGACAAAUGACCUUGAAAAAUGACUACCGGAAGUGACCUUGAGAAAACCGGAAGUAGCCUUUUUUGCAAUUUUUUUCAUCUCAAAGUACCCAGAAUCAAUAUAUUUUGUCAUAUAAAUACAUACACUGAUUACUGGAGACGAAACAUGACUUCCAACAAACCGGAAGUGGCCAAUUAUUUCCCCUUCUACAUACAAUAGUAUAUAGAAACUAUAUAUUUUUGGAAUCAGUGUGAAAUAAGCUAUCAUAUGACACCGGACGUGACAUUUAUUUCACCGGAAGUAGCAUAUUAUCUCCCUUUUAUCACUCAAAAAUAUAAUUAAACCAUUAUUUAUCUCAUCAGUAUAAAGAAACUAUCUUUUUAUCAAAA
RNAcentral lists this long non-coding RNA (592 nucleotides) under Mytilus galloprovincialis (Mediterranean mussel). Lineage: Eukaryota; Metazoa; Mollusca; Bivalvia; Mytilida; Mytilidae. The record is from RNAcentral.